Long non-coding RNA from Stylophora pistillata, 199 nucleotides. Lineage: Eukaryota; Metazoa; Cnidaria; Anthozoa; Scleractinia; Pocilloporidae. The record is from RefSeq and is a predicted model, not a curated record.
GCGACUGAUUUUGAAAUCAAAGAUCCUGAUAGAACUCCAAGCGAGUUUCCUGAGUUGGUUCGUGAUUGCCCUCUCGGGAAGGUCUGGCACUCGAAGGAUACGAAAUUCAAAACACCUCGAGCCAGGUUUUAUUUUCAUCUCAUGUCGCCGCUAGUAAACGCCAGCCCUGAGAGGUGAGAUAUGAGAAGUUAGUUUAUCU